This 481-nucleotide ribosomal RNA is filed under the name uncultured bacterium. Its description in RNAcentral is "partial 16S ribosomal RNA". It matches the Rfam family "Bacterial small subunit ribosomal RNA", at positions 30 to 507 of the family's 1533-position model. The record is from RNAcentral.
UUGAACGCUGGCGGCAUGCUCUACACAUGCAAGUCGAACGGUAACAGGCCGCAAGGUGCUGACGAGUGGCGAACGGGUGAGUAAUGCAUCGGAACGUGCCCAGUCGUGGGGGAUAACUACUCGAAAGAGUAGCUAAUACCGCAUACGAUCUAUGGAUGAAAGCGGGGGACCGUAAGGGCUCGCGCGAUUGGAGCGGCCGAUGUCAGAUUAGGUAGUUGGUGGGGUAAAGGCUCACCAAGCCAACGAUCUGUAGCUGGUCUGAGAGGACGACCAGCCACACUGGGACUGAGACACGGCCCAGACUCCUACGGGAGGCAGCAGUGGGGAAUUUUGGACAAUGGGCGCAAGCCUGAUCCAGCAAUGCCGCGUGCAGGAAGAAGGCCUUCGGGUUGUAAACUGCUUUUGUACGGAACGAAACGGCUCUGGUUAAUACCCGGGGCUAAUGACGGUACCGUAAGAAUAAGCACCGGCUAACUACGUG